This 445-nucleotide ribosomal RNA is filed under the name Staphylococcus sp. RNAcentral describes it as "bacterial SSU rRNA". It matches the Rfam family "Bacterial small subunit ribosomal RNA", at positions 1012 to 1454 of the family's 1533-position model. Lineage: Bacteria; Bacillati; Bacillota; Bacilli; Caryophanales; Staphylococcaceae. The record is from RNAcentral.
CUUCCCCUUCGGGGGACAAAGUGACAGGUGGUGCAUGGUUGUCGUCAGCUCGUGUCGUGAGAUGUUGGGUUAAGUCCCGCAACGAGCGCAACCCUUAAGCUUAGUUGCCAUCAUUAAGUUGGGCACUUUAGGUUGACUGCCGGUGACAAACCGGAGGAAGGUGGGGAUGACGUCAAAUCAUCAUGCCCCUUAUGAUUUGGGCUACACACGUGCUACAAUGGACAAUACAAAGGGCAGCUAAACCGCGAGGUCAUGCAAAUCCCAUAAAGUUGUUCUCAGUUCGGAUUGUAGUCUGCAACUCGACUACAUGAAGCUGGAAUCGCUAGUAAUCGUAGAUCAGCAUGCUACGGUGAAUACGUUCCCGGGUCUUGUACACACCGCCCGUCACACCACGAGAGUUUGUAACACCCGAAGCCGGUGGAGUAACCAUUUUAUGGAGCUAGCC